UCCUGGUGAUUUAGCUUGGUGUGUCCCACCUGAUACCAUUCCGAACUCAGAAGUGAAAGCGCCAAACGCCGAUGAUAGUCUUUUGAGGCGAAAGUAGGCUUCGCCAGGAU
RNAcentral lists this ribosomal RNA (110 nucleotides) under Candidatus Colwellbacteria bacterium CG10_big_fil_rev_8_21_14_0_10_42_22. Lineage: Bacteria; Candidatus Colwelliibacteriota. The record is from RNAcentral.